RNAcentral lists this ribosomal RNA (252 nucleotides) under uncultured bacterium. RNAcentral's name for it is "partial 16S ribosomal RNA". It matches the Rfam family "Bacterial small subunit ribosomal RNA", at positions 524 to 776 of the family's 1533-position model. The record is from RNAcentral.
UACGUAUGGGGCGAGCGUUAUCCGGAUUCAUUGGGCGUAAAGCGCGCGUAGGCGGCCGCCUAAGCGGAACCUCUAACCCCGGGGCUCAACCUCGGGCCGGGUUCCGGACUGGGCGGCUCGAGUGCGGUAGAGGAGAGCGGAAUUCCCGGUGUAGCGGUGGAAUGCGCAGAUAUCGGGAAGAACACCGAUGGCGAAGGCAGCUCUCUGGGCCGUCACUGACGCUGAGGCGCGAAAGCUGGGGGAGCGAACAGG